UUGCAUAGACAAAGAUUCAACUGUCGUUUAUUAUUCAUCUCUCAAGUUUCAAGAUAGAUUCUCGAAAUCUCGAAAAAUUUCUUGCUCUCCGGAGAAAGCAAGGUUUCGCGUGGCAGUAGACGAAAAGAAAAGAAAACGAGAAGACUGGAAUCAGAAAGAUCGUACAUCGAAAUAUCAGAGACUGGAUUGCACGUUUCAUUGUUGACUGUCGUUCGUCGUUCCGUUUAACUAUUCAUUUCAUUUCCCUUGGAACGAUACUGAAACACUUGACACGAUUUCUGAACCGUUCUCUCGUUGUUAAUGCAGCAACCGAGCCUUUUCAUUUUUAAUCUUCCUCGUCCUUCCGCUCAUUCGCGCCGGAUCACUUGAGACAGUCGCGAGAGAUUGUCUCCUUCGACUCCAUCUUAGAGGAGGCAGAAGGGUAGCUUUUUCCUGAGAAGUGUUUGCGUUCGCAGCGCGAGAAAUACGGCAUCGUCUGGCCGUAAUUACGUCGAAACGUCGUAGGCGACGAGCUACGUAGAGGGUUAGACGGAGCGAAAUAUUCACACAGGAAGACGGCACCUGUCGCUUCGGCCUGCACAAUUUCCUGCAGGGCUACGAAGAUAUGUGUCGCGUUCCAACGUGGGAAUGGAACUUGAUAAAAGGAAGAAAGGAGGACGAGCCGUUUGAUAAGGGUUAGUGAAGAAGAUGCAAGCGAGAGGAAAGGGCAACCAAGAUUCAAGAGGGCGAGUUUUAUUACUCAAUUUGGAUGAUGGACGAACAGGAGAAAGAGUUACGCCGCAUAUUUCAAAGCCCGGUUGGGAAUAUUUGGAAAUUAAUGAGAACCGUUCGUGAGAAGAAAACGACGUGUCGUUGGAGAGGCAAUUUCGAUUCUUCUGAGAAUGGUUCUGGGCUGUAUCAAGAGUUUCAGAAUAUUUGGUGAGGAAGGUUAAAUAGGUAGAAUAUUGAGGAGGAGGGUGAAAGAGAAUGUGGCGAGGGGACACGAAAAAAUGACUUGUCUGCGUAUUUUUCGCAUCGAUGAGGAGCGAACGACGAGGAGAGAAUUUUGAGGAUGGAACCGAAGAACGAAAUUAAAAUUUGCGUCGCAGAAAUUUUGAAACUUAAUAACGAGAAUUGUGUGAAAAAUUCCAAGGAAUAUAACGGCGCAGUCCGCAUGCAUGAGACAAAGGGGUCUGAGAGAAAUGGGAGGGAUUUUGGAGAACAAAUGGAAAGUGUCAAAUGCAGGAAAAGAGAAGCUUCAGUGAAGAGUGAAAGACAUUCUCAUCAGGCUUGAGACAGAAGGCAGACUAUUCCUUUGACUCGGUGAUUCGUUUGUGUAACCCAAGCUUUCUUUGUCGGAAUUGUGAGAGUCGGCCUGUCAUUUUCAAAUAUACUUUCAUCAUUCUUUAAACACGUUCAAAUAAAUAAUAUUUCGCCGUUUUCAAAUUAAACCGUAAGAACUCGGGAGAACUGAAUUAACACUCGACUUUCACGCGUAAAUACGCGUCAUUCCAAGCUUAAGCCCUCCAACAAUCCAAUCAUUUCGAGCUUCAAUCUCACUACUCCGUCACGCGUCGUCACAUAUUCUCCACAAACUGUAUUAAUCGAUCGAAUAUCGGCUCGAUUCCAAGAAUUUUCCACGCUUGAAUAAUUACGUUGCGUCCUGUAACGAUAAUCGGGCUAAAUAACGAUCGUAAGUACGAUCAUUUAUCCACAAACGCCGUCUCUUUGUCCACGUCUCGAUCCCACAGCUUUCCUUUAGAUAUACAGAAUAUCUGAAUUCGUUUCUCUGCCGCGUUAACGUAUUCCAGACUGGCCGAUACCGAUUGCUUCGUCUCAUUUACGAGGAGCGUAAGUGGCGGUAUGAUUAUCGAGCUGCAUUAUAGCCCCCACUCAACAGUAAUUGCCAUCCAUUACGGCUCGAUCCAUAAUCGAGGGAGAAACGUUUCUCGAGAGCGGCGGCCCUCUUUGUCCCUUGUUCCAAGCGGACUUGCAUCUUUCCUAUCGCCUUGCGACCGCCCUCCUUCUUCUCGUUAACCGACUGAUUUAAUUGCACACCCUCGCUUUCCAUUACACGCGUGUUCCGCUUCGCUGGGAGCAUCGCGAUUAAUUUCGAUUAUUAGGGAAAAAAUUUUCAUCGAUAUAUCUAUCUCCGUCCAUCGGAUAAUAUCAAUCGAGAAAUUGUUUCUUUCUCUUUUUCGCAGUUUUAUGUAAAUUUUUUUUUCACAAGUAUCGAGCGUUAACAGUGUUCUUCCUGGAGAACGUAUCAAUCGUUCUCCCAUUAGUUCGAUAUCUCUCGGGUGAGUGGCGUUCAUCAGAGGUUAAUGUAGCUCGACCGUCAAAGGAAAUCAUGAAUCCCAUUUUCUCUGGGCGGCAAUUACCGAUAUCGAGGAUCGAUCUAUAACCGAGCGAGAAAUGGUCCCCGAGCGACCCUCUUUGUUCGCGGAGCAUCUUCGAAUUAACUUCGUUAUUAUGCCACUUAGCCGGCUGUUUCGACCACCCUUUCCUCGCUUCUAACGUUCCAACCAAGACGGUUGCCCCCUUAUUAUUUUACGAUAAUUAAUUUCCACGGUGAUAUAUACUUUAUUCGAUUCGUUCUCGCGGUUUAUUAGUCGUAAAUCUGAUCGAGAUGAUGAAACGAUAAUAUCUCUUUUGAUUUAAAGAGAAGGAGACUGGAGGAGACGAAUAAGUAAAUUAUUAUGAUGAGUAUCUUCAAGGAUAUGAUAUAUACACGUUAAGCUUGACUCGUGAUAAAAACAAAGGACGCGAGAAAUAAUGUUACGAGUUGGAUUGCUUAAAGCUUUACCUAACAUCAGCUCUAGAAUUCAGAGUUCAUUAGCUUAUUAGGUUGGCGAAUUUGCUUCAUGUUAUUAACCGGAGCAGGCAAUAAGGGAUCUGGAUCCGUUCAAUCUAAUAAUGAUCUCGCAUAGAAAGGAAGUGGGACGGAAGCGAGAUUAAAUAAUAAUAACUGCGCUUAAUAAUGCAUUUGUGGCAAUGAGUUAUGGACGAUCGUGUCGAAGUUCGGUAAGACUGUUGAUCGCAACUCGGAUCAAUCAGAAUAAUUGGAGGAAUAUUCGAGGAGAAUCUAAUCAAUAAUCAAAUUGAGAGAGGACAAUUAUUUUGUGAAUGAAUGAAAUUACUCGUAGGGGAGGGGAUAGAUAACAAACGGAAUCGAUUAUGAGAGGAGCAAGAGAUAGAAAUAACAAGCGAUCGUGAAAAGUGGAGGAAAGAUACGUAACGGCAACGUCUACGUCUGGAAGAUAUCCUCGCCUGGAAAAUUGCAUCGCAGACAGGUUGAAAGUUUUGCAUAUUUCCACGGAGUGGAGGCGAGGACAGAUAUCUCGCGACAUCUGUUUUCAAAACAAGAUGACCGGAAUGUAACGUCAAAAGCAUCUGCUGGAAAAGCAUCGAGGAUUCUUGACCGAGAAAUUAUCUUCCCGAAAGAUUGCCUCGAUAUCUUAUCCCCUGAUACUCUAAUAUAUCGAUAAAAGAGUUUACAUUUUUUUCUUUAAAAAGUAUCCACACUAUCUACUUUUACUUUUUCCAUACUUUUAUAAAUAUCGUUCGAAUUUACAAAACUUUGUGAUAUCGUUAAUUCUAGGCGAAAGAUGAAAC
RNAcentral lists this long non-coding RNA (3594 nucleotides) under Apis mellifera (honey bee). RNAcentral describes it as "uncharacterized LOC100576630". Lineage: Eukaryota; Metazoa; Arthropoda; Insecta; Hymenoptera; Apidae. The record is from RNAcentral.